CAGUCGAACGAUGAAAGUCGUUUUGAUAUCUCGGAUUGAUAAACUUCUGGAUUACUUGCGGACGGGUGAGUAACGCGUGAGCAAUCUGCCUUACACAAAGGGAUAGCCUCGGGAAACCGGGAUUAAUACCAUAUGAUAUCUACAAGCCGCAUGGCCUAUAGAUUAAAGAACUUCGGUGUAAGAUGAGCUCGCGUCCCAUUAAUUAGUUGGUGAGGGUAACGGCCCACCAAGAUAGCGAUGGGUAGCCGAUCUAAGAGGAUGACCGGCCACAUUGGAACUGAGAAACGGUCCAAACUCCUACGGGAGGCAGCAGUGGGGAAUAUUGCACAAUGGGGGAAACCCUGAUGCAGCGACGCCGCGUGAGCGAUGAAGGCUUUCGAGUCGUAAAGCUCUGUCCUAUGGGAAGAUAAUGACGGUACCAUAGAAGAAAGCCCCGGCUAAUUACGUGCCAGCAGCCGCGGUAAUACGUAAGGGGCGAGCGUUGUCCGGAAUUAUUGGGCGUAAAGAGUGCGUAGGCGGCAAAUUAAGUCAGAUGUGAAAACUAAGGGCUCAACCCAUAGAUUGCAUCUGAAACUGAUAUGCUUGAGUCAAGGAGAGGAAAGUGGAAUUCCUAGUGUAGCGGUGGAAUGCGUAGAUAUUAGGAGGAAUACCGGUGGCGAAGGCGACUUUCUGGACUUGAACUGACGCUGAGGCACGAAAGCGUGGGGAGCAAACAGGAUUAGAUACCCUGGUAGUCCACGCCGUANACGAUGAGUGCUAGGUGUCUGCUCNUA
Molecule: ribosomal RNA, 773 nt
Filed under: uncultured bacterium
Lineage: Bacteria
Description: bacterial SSU rRNA
Rfam family: Bacterial small subunit ribosomal RNA
Source: RNAcentral